RNAcentral lists this long non-coding RNA (227 nucleotides) under Elaeis guineensis (African oil palm). RNAcentral describes it as "long non-coding RNA (EGUI_LNC032352)". Lineage: Eukaryota; Viridiplantae; Streptophyta; Magnoliopsida; Arecales; Arecaceae. The record is from RNAcentral.
UUUUGCCUAAACUCUUCUCAAAAUCUCUCUUUCUUCUUCUCUCCUUGAAACAUCGUGAUUUGUUGAAUAUCUAAGUUCCCUUGAUAACUUUCAAUUUAAAUUCUCUCUAAUCUACAUCCUUGGAGCUGACUCAUGCUUGGUUUGUUGAUUUUUUUUCUCUUGGAAAAAUUAGGAGUUUAAUUCUGUAUCUGAGCUUGAGUUGACUCGAGAUGAAGUUCGAGUCGACU